This 29-nucleotide non-coding RNA is filed under the name Mus musculus (house mouse). Lineage: Eukaryota; Metazoa; Chordata; Mammalia; Rodentia; Muridae. The record is from RNAcentral.
UACACUUAGCUGGUUUCUGAUUUGGGGCU